UUUUCCUACGGGACGCAGCAGUGGGGAAUAUUGCACAAUGGGGGAAACCCUGAUGCAGCAACGCCGCGUGAGUGAGGAAGUAUUUCGGUAUGUAAAGAUCUAUCAGCAGGGAAUAGAAAAGAAGGUACCUGAAAAAGAAGCCCCGGCUAACUACGUGCCAGCAGCCGCGGUAAUACGUAGGGGGCAAGCGUUAUCCGGAUUUACUGGGUGUAAAGGGAGCGCAGGCGGCGCGUUAAGCCUGGUGUGAAAGCCCGCGGCCCAACCGCGGGACUGCAUUGGGAACUGGCGCGCUGGAGUGCCGGGGG
RNAcentral lists this ribosomal RNA (305 nucleotides) under uncultured bacterium. Its description in RNAcentral is "bacterial SSU rRNA". It matches the Rfam family "Bacterial small subunit ribosomal RNA", at positions 334 to 655 of the family's 1533-position model. The record is from RNAcentral.